Long non-coding RNA from Brassica napus (rape), 1511 nucleotides. RefSeq lists it as uncharacterized. The transcript is spliced from 2 exons. The record is from RefSeq and is a predicted model, not a curated record. Lineage: Eukaryota; Viridiplantae; Streptophyta; Magnoliopsida; Brassicales; Brassicaceae.
GUCUUUUCCCGAACUUCUCUUACACGGCUUAGGACCUCGAAUAAGUAUAAUUUAUUUCUAUUGUGUUCCGUCUGUGUGAAAUCGAGUCUGUCAUUGUUUGUUUAGUUUUUAGGUUCUUUGCUUAAACCGGAACUAGAGUGUUAGAUGGUUCAACGGUGCUUGUUAAUUUAUAAUUGAUAAUAUAUAUGUAUAUAAUAUAUUGAGGUGAUUUGGGUGUUAGCCGACCAUGGAGACGUAAUUCUGUGUGUCGGCCGGAGACCAGUACAUUGGGUGUGGUGUAUGCUGCGGCACAGCUUAGUCGACCUGUUGUGCCAAGGCUUCGAGGUCGAUAAAUCGUCUACGGGCGUGUGUUACCGAGCACAUAUUCGGUGGUGUUUUGGCCUGUUAGUGGGCAGCGAGUGUGCACCUCGCUAGGACUGUUGUGUGAUCUUUGGGUACUUUAGGUACCGUGUUUGCAACGUGUUAGGAUUAAAUUAUAUUUAUUCGGAGUGCUCUGUCCGGGUCCAUGGACUUCGGGUUUAGUAUCCCAUACCUCACUGAGUGACUUCCCCGUUACUCACCCUUCUCUCUUCCCCAUUUCAGGUGAGACUGACGAGUAUAUGAUAUUUGGACGGAUUGGUGCUACUGGACUUUUUAUUCGGAUUUUUAUUUGGGCUUUGGGUGAGUGUAAUUGAGUAUAUGGACUUUUAUUAUACGAGAUAUUGUUGGUGGCCCGCUGUUGUCCGGAUUGGAGGUGACGGGUGUCACAAAUAUCGCCACGGAAACCAGAACAAGAUAUCGGUAGCUUUACAUGCUACCACACAACGCAACGGUGCAGCUGUUUCUCCAAGAUAUCGGCGUCAUAGCGUUGGAGAACCAUCCACUUCAUCUUCAUGGCUUUAACUUCUUUGAAGUUGGUUAGGAUGAGGUACUUGAACCCUAAGAAAGAUCCAAACAAUUUCAAUUUGGUCGAUCCAGUUGAGAGGAACACAAUCGGAAUUCCAUCUGGUGGAUGGGUCGUCAUCAGAUUCAGACGGAUAAUCCCGGUUUGGUUCAUGCAUUGUCACUUGGAGGUACACACGACUUGGGGAUUAAAGAUGGCUUUUUUGGUGGAGAACGGCAAAGGACCCAAUCAGUAGAUUUUGCCACCGCCUAAAGAUCUUCCCAAGGGUUAGGUCCUUCAACUAAACAAGGCCACGUCUAAGAAGACCAGACUGACCAGUGAAUGGUGAAUUAGUGCGUCGAUGUUCUUAGCAAAUUACCUUUUUUGAGCAAAGCAAAAAGUUCGAAUUUUUGCUCAACAAAAGUUUGAAUAAGAGGAAGAAAAAGAGCAUUGUACAUGUUAUAUCAUUAUAUCAAAAAUUCCAUUUGUAUUUUAUUCUUAUUGCUUCAAACAACUCUUAUAUGACCCAUGCGUUUUAUUUAUUCUUUUGGUCCAACAACUUUAAACAAAAAAUUUGUAGAUAGAGUUUUAAAAAAAUUUGUGUAGAUGGUACAUGGACUUUUAUUUUAUUACACGUCCACUUUUUGUA